Molecule: ribosomal RNA, 489 nt
Filed under: uncultured Eubacteriales bacterium
Lineage: Bacteria; Bacillati; Bacillota; Clostridia; Eubacteriales
Description: bacterial SSU rRNA
Rfam family: Bacterial small subunit ribosomal RNA
Source: RNAcentral
AACGCUGGCGGCGUGCGUAACACAUGCAAGUCGAACGAGAAUGUACUGACAGAUCCUUGGGGUGAAGAUAGUACAGGACAGUGGCGGAUGGGUGAGUAACGCGUAAGAAACCUGCCUUUCACACCGGGAUAGCAGCUGGAAACGGCUAUUAAUACCGGAUGGCACUUUUUCCCCGCAUGAGGAAGAGGUUAAAGAAUUUCGGUGAAAGAUGGUCUUGCGUCUGAUUAGCUAGUUGGUGGGGUAACGGCCUACCAAGGCGACGAUCAGUAGCCGGCCUGAGAGGGUGUACGGCCACAUUGGGACUGAGACACGGCCCAAACUCCUACGGGAGGCAGCAGUGGGGAAUUUUGCACAAUGGAGGAAACUCUGAUGCAGCGACGCCGCGUGAACGAAAAAGGUCUUCGGAUUGUAAAGUUCUGUCCUGGGUGAAGAUAAUGACGGUAACUCAGGAGGAAGCCCCGGCUAACUACGUGCCAGCCGCCGCGGUAA